Long non-coding RNA from Tympanuchus pallidicinctus (lesser prairie-chicken), 6131 nucleotides. RefSeq lists it as uncharacterized. The record is from RefSeq and is a predicted model, not a curated record. NCBI's taxonomy places the organism in Eukaryota, Metazoa, Chordata, Aves, Galliformes, Phasianidae. The transcript is spliced from 2 exons.
GGGAGAAAACGGGCGCCAUGAUCCCAGCGCGAGGGAGGACGGCGCGGGCGGGGGAUCCCCGGCGAAAAGGAAAGCGGGAAAAGGCCUCAGCUUCUCCUUCCUUAGCGGGGCCGGGAGGAGUGGAGCGGGGGAAGAGAGAGAGCGAGAGAGAGAGAGGAGCGGUUUGCGCCUGCUUUUGUAACUGCGUCAGUCCAAGAUGGCGCAGGGUCUCCCUGGAGAGGGAAGGGAGCCGCACGUCCGCCGGAGGUCAUGUGACCGCGCUGCAUUCCUGUGGGCUUUGGCUGCCGCCCAACGCGGCUGAGGCGGCGGCGGCGGCGCUCGGGAGAGUUCGCGCUUCCCCUCCCCCAGCGCCGCCGUUGCCGCGUCGCUUCCCCUUCCCUUCCCCCCCGUAACCCCGCGCGCGAGGGCGUAGCCGCCGCUGAGGAAGGUUCUCGUCGCUCUCCCUGCUCCCCGCCCCUCUCCCGGGUGCAGCCGCGCUCGGGGGAGGCCCUCCAUCCGCCCUCCGCUGCCGUAGCGCCCUCCUCGGCCUCCCCUCCCCGAUGAAGAACCAGCGGGGACUUCUUUCUCCAGCAGCAGGGCUAAAUCCACCAGUCUGAUGAGGCUGUGCUCAGCUGCAGGGAGGCAACGUCUCCAGGCUCUGGCCCAGGGCCCCAGUUUGGAAAGGACCUCACUGGAAAGUGUUCUACCGAAAUCUGGUGCAACUCUGAUAAAACGUCCCAGCCCAUCCUGUAAAGACUGUUACUGAAAAAUCUUGAAAUAAUCACAGGGGAAACGACAGGAACUCAGGCCUCCCUUCCCACCCAAGCGAGACACUCCCUGUCUCUUUUUCCCUACAGCCCACUAAGCACGCAAGGAUCUGAUGGAAAAGGGCAAGAGUUUCAGCAGCGGGAAAUCUGAGCCAGAGCCACAGCAAAGGCUGGCUGAGACGGAGCUGCCCCUGUGCCAGUUCCGAGGCAGGAGGGCAGCAGGCUGCUGAGGUGGGGUUGCAGCAGUGUGUUAAGAGUCCUCACUAAACUUGUGGGAGUAUGGAAAUGUAGGAUCAAGUUCAGGGAUUGCAGUAGCAGACAAAGGAGGAACAAUUCCUUUGGCCUGAGUGACAUUUCACUUACAUGUGCUAACUGUAAAUCUUAUCUGGAAUCAUGAGAGGCUUUAAUGUGGUUUUCCUCAUGUACGUUUAAGAACACAUCCAAUUAACAGAAAUACAGCAGCUGAAAUGCCUGUUUUAUAAGAGGGCAGGGCUGAGCAGGUUAAAAAUGUAUAGGACUGGAUUAUAUUAGUCCUUGUUGAUGGGGCUUUCAGCUCUACUGGCCCAAUCCACGUAUCUCUUCUUUCAUCAGUGGAUUAGAUACAAAGAAUCCACUCUCACUAUUUUCUUGAGCAGAUGAAGCUGUUGUGUUUGAUUUUUACCUUGUGGUUUUUAACAAGUCAGUUCCUGGUGAGACAGUCUGAAUCGGGCUCUUGUUUGAUACCAAGAAGGUAAUGAGGCUUAAACUGUACAAACUCUGCAUGCUCUUCUAUUUGCACAGAGUGGUGAUCUGUGGCCAUAUAUAGUGCAGUGCAGUGAAGGUUUUAGGAGCUGUGUUCCUUGCUCCCUUAGAUUCACUGGGGAAAACAAACAAACAAAAACCCUUUAAUCUGUGGAAUUAUACAGUCCAGUGACAGGAGGAUACAAAUGGGAAGUCUGAGGAGAUGAGGUGCCCUCAGCAAGGCUGUUUCAAGGCUUGGUGGCUGGCAUGUGCCCCCUCCUCCAGGUGUCCUGCUGGACUCUGGUGCCAUCAGCUCUAGUCCCAGGCAGCAGCAGGCCACCGGGGCUUGGGUGGGUUUGCUCCCUGUACCUCUGCAUGGCUCUGGGAUUCAUAACGACAUUCCAGACUCUGAAGAAAGCAUCUAAAGCUUGUUCAGCCUGUAUGGAGGAGCUGAAGUUGCCACAGGGCAGGGAAGGGACCGCCAAGGGAUCUGGACAGUCAUGGGAAAAGCCAUGGUGAGGAGGAACAAGCAGGCCUCGCUUCAGUCUGUGGGAGCCUGCACUCACUCUUGGCCUGUAAAUGACUUGUGGCAGGCGCUGUCAUCCCUUGUGAGACACGGUGGGUGGUGCCGGCCACAUAAAAUACAUCUAAAUCCCAGUUCAGUCCAGACUGUAAAACGGGCUUAAAGUGAAAACAGAUUGAGACAAGGAAGGAGAGAGCUUCUUAGGCUGCAGAUGGCCACCAUUCAGUAGCUCCCUCUGGGCCUGUGUCAGCGGGCCACCCUUGCUCCUGAGCCCCGCUUUGCUCCUCGCCCAGUGCAGAAGCUAUAAUGCAGCUCCUGUUAUAACUCGGGCAGUGAUGGGCAGCUGCAGCUGGGCCCGGAGCAGAGAGCUUUGCUGGCACCGCUCUGUGCAGUGCCGCUGUCUGCAGCGCUGGGCCAGCGCCUUAUGGAGACAUUGCCCCUUUUCAGCUGUUCGUUGCCUCUCUGAUGCCAGGGAUGCCCUCGGAUCUGCUGUCAGCUCGGGGCAGGCUCUGCAGGAACGCGCUAAUCCCCUGCAGGAAAGUUCCCGUGGCUCAGUUCAAAUACCCGGUUUGAACUGGUUAAUCUGACCCGGUCGGUCUGUCUGGCGGAGCACCGACACGCUCUGCGCUGCCGCGGGUGAAGGUCGGCUUGAGCUCGAGGGUGGUGACGGAGAGCAGCUGGUUCUGCUGCUUCCAAGAGAGACAUCUGCUCACAGCCUUAAAAUCAUUUAGCCCAAAUCCCGUGCAGUUCAGGGCUGUUUCCUGUGUAGCUUUUAGUGCAUUUUGUCCUUCCUUAGUUUAAAACAGGAUUUCUAUUGUUUGUCUGGUGAGGCUAGUAAAAGCUAGGAGGAUAUUCCUCUUAAAUUACUCCUUUAUAUCUAAUUAUACACCUGGGUAGACAAGUAGUUUGUCCUGAAGAAGCAGAUGGGGUAAAUAUGGGACUGUGUCUGAAUUCUGCAGAGUAACUCACAGAUGCCAUUUUCAGCACGAGCUGUUUUUGCUGCAGCACUGUUCAUCUUGCUCAGGAGAAAUUUCAGGAAGUUGUGCGGAGCAAAAGGUUGCAGCUUGGCUCCUCGUUGUUUUUAUUUCUCCUACUCUUACAUUAAGCAGAAAAAACAAGGGAAAAAAUCCUCUCCCUGGGACUCAUUUCCAUGUUUCUCAUGAACUCAGAGUUCCUCUGCCUGGAAUCAAACAUCUAUGAAAUGAAAACUGAAGGAAGAAAGAAUGCACCGGGGAAAGACCAUGUUCAGUGCAGUGCACAUUUUUCAUGCUGGACUGAAAUUUAUUUCUCCUAAUUCCAAAACAUUCAACUUCAGUGCUCAGGAAGAUUCACCUAAAACUGUUUUCAUAUAAAAUAUAAAAAUUAAACUUGGCAGUACUUUUUUCAGUCAUCUAACGGUAAGUAUCCUACAUUCACAUUUUAUGCCACCUGAAAGCAGACUGCUUUGUGAACUGUUUGAAAGGCACUGGUAAAGGACCUCUGUAUAGUCCCCUGCAUUUGGUUUAAGUAACUUUUCUCCUGCUGUGACUCCUCAUUCCUUCUAGCUGCUUUGCUGGUUUAUGUGCUCAUAGGAAUCACUAGACUAAACUCUUUCUGCCAGGUACUGGGUGUAUACUCAUUUUAAUCGACAGUGUAUGACAGUCACUAGACUUCUCAUAUGUUAGUGGUGAACUCCUUUCUGUUGGCCCUCUGAUGGGCUUGGUAGCUCCUGGCAGCAAGGUGGAGUGAAGAGCUAGGGGCAAUAGUUCCCUUUUCAGGACCUGGGUAUACAUCUUGUGUUGGAGCACAAGCAUUAUGGGGAUUGGAUGAGGGAACUGGGAUGGUUCAGUCUGGAGAAGAGGAGGCUCAGAGGAGACCUUACCACUCUCUACAACUGCCUGAAAGUUGUGGCAAGGUGGGGGUCGGCCUCUUCUCCCAUGUAACAGUGAUAAUAUGAGAGGGGAUGACCUCAAGUUGCACCAGGGGAGGUUCAGGUUGGACACAGGAACAAUUUCUUCUCAGAAGGAGUGGUGAGGCACUGGCACAGGUUGCCCAGGGAGAUGGUGGAGUCACUGUCCCUAGAGGUGUUCAAGAAAUGUGGAGAUGUGGCACUGAGGAACAUGGAUUAGUGGGCAUGGUGGAGAUGGGCUGAUGGUUGGACUAAGUGGUCUUAGUGGUCUUUUCAGUAUUUUUGAUUCUAUGAUUCCACAUGGGGAGGUAAAGGCAGGAAAUUUGGGAUAUUGCAGACAGAAGUAUGGGUGCAAUUAUUGUUGCUCUAGGUAGAACUUAGCUUCCCAUAGAUAAAUGAGCAACCCAGAGCCUAGGAAACAAAUGAGCACAUUUUGUAUGUGCUGUGUAGGUGCCCAGAAUUAUCCUUCGCAGCCUGUGCAUAUCAGGUAGAAUUAGUGGUCACACUGAGAUGAGCACUGAGAGCAUGUGCCCUUCAAGACUGAUGUGUUGGAAUGCUUUGGAUUUACCAUGCAAGCGCCGGGUGAGUUCCACACACAAGAAGUAUCAUGAAGGGGUUGAGAUGCACCAGAUUUACUAUGCACACAUGGUGCAGAUUUCAUGAACUAAAUAUGCUGAUGUACUGCAGGCUGUCCCCAUAUUGGCACUCCUCAACACACUGGUACUGGUGGUAACCAUGUGGCCAUAGAGUGAGUUGAAUCAGCUUGCUGGAGUGGCUGACCAUGCAGAUAAAUAAGUACUAGGACUGAUAGAGGAGAGGUGAUGGGAACAGGCAAGAUUGCUCCUUUGCACAGGAGCACAUGCUUAGCUCUAUAACAGCCCUGACACCACAAGGUCAGUGAUUUGGCAGGAUUUUUAGCACAUCAGAUAGCCCAGGCAAAAUUAUGUCUGGGGCUCGUUCUUUCAUGAAAUUGCUGCAGACUUCACAUUACAGAGGACAAAUUUCUCUACAUCUGUCUAGUAAGGGGGACCUAAUUGGGACACUGGGACUACUGCAGUUCUAGAUAGGGCUGGCUAGGGUGGACUAAUCCCUGCAUAUAACAGAGCAAUGAUCACCAAGACUACAUGGAUGGGCAUACAUGAAGAUAGAAAUUGCACCGGUAUUGAAUAGUUCAGUUGCUUGUCUUCAAGGAAAAAGCAGUAUCCAGUCCCUGUAAAAGGAUUAUAUUGAUCUCUAAUAGCUGCAGCUUACUGAGUAAAUAAACGUUUCUAGUAACACAUCUGCUUCUGUGCUUCACUGCUUACUCAGACAGUGAAGUCCUGGGUCUUGGAGCUUAAUCCCUAUUGAUUUUCUGUCAAUUCCUUCUGUGAUGACCCCAAAUCUUUACUAAACUGUAGCAGAUCAGUGUAUUUGACAUGGCCUUCACUUGUUAUUGGCUCCCCCGGGGAACUUGGAGGCAUCAUUGGGCUUCUCAUCUAGCUGCCACAAUCUGCAAAUGAUGAGUCUUGGUCUGGGACUUUCUGUAUGGGGCUCUGGUUUGCUCUGUCUUCAGAAAUACUUCUCCUUUAACCUUCUGGGAUAAUCAUUCCAUCUGUAAAGUAUUCCUUUGCUUCCUGUUGUAUUCAAUAAACUUUGCUUUAAAGGACUCUUGUUGAUACUAACCAUCUGUUGUCUGGGGGGGAGGAGAAGACAUAGGAAAGACAACUUAAGUUAUGAAUUGUUGUUCAGAAGUCUCAUCUGUAAAAUCCUAACAUAGAAGCAUGCUGAAAAGGGAGAGAACAGGAGUAAGAACUGGGAAAACUUCUGCUUCAGGCAUUUGUUUGCUGGCACAGGCCCAGCAGGCACUGCAUUAGGCAGCUUGGACUGACAGCUUGUUUUCAUGUUUGCAGUGGUACUUCAUCUCCUGGCCUGGGACGACAUCUGGCUGGCACGUUCUUCUCCACACACCAGGAAGAGGACUCUUGUUAGCUGGUUACUGCAGAUCUCAGCAUUAAAACACAGUGAAUCAGACUGCAAAGUAGCAUGAGACUGAUUUAAAAAUAAUGAGAUUUAUGUAUUGAGUUGAGCUUUGAGUUCUUUUUAUUUGCUUUCUGGCUUGGAAACCUUUAGAAUGUGUGAUGAGUAUAUUUUUUGCUUUUCAUCAUGAUUGUGAAUGUUUUAAAAACACACACACAAAAAGCGAGCAGACAAACGAAAUAGAUCCUUACCUUAUAAUUGAGAAAUCCUGAAUCACUGAUUUUGGCUUUCACAAUCA